CCUACGGGGGACAGCAGUGAGGAAUAUUGGUCAAUGGACGAGAGUCUGAACCAGCCAAGUAGCGUGAAGGAUGACUGCCCUAUGGGUUGUAAACUUCUUUUAUAAAGGAAUAAAACGAGGCACGUGUGCCUCUUUGCAUGUACUUUAUGAAUAAGGAUCGGCUAACUCCGUGCCAGCAGCCGCGGUAAUACGGCGGAUCCGAGCGUUAUCCGGAUUUAUUGGGUUUAAAGGGAGCGUAGAUGGGUUGUUAAGUCAGUUGUGAAAGUUUGCGGCUCAACCGUAAAAUUGCAAUUGAUACUGGCAGUCUUGAGUACAGUUGAGGUAGGCGGAAUGCGUGGUGUAGCGGUGAAAUGCUUAGAUAUCACGAAGAACUCCGAUUGCGAAGGCAGCUUACUAAACUGCCACUGACAUUGAUGCUCGAAAGUGUGGGUAUCAAACAGGAUUAGAUACCCCUGUAGUC
This 460-nucleotide ribosomal RNA is filed under the name uncultured bacterium. Its description in RNAcentral is "partial 16S ribosomal RNA". It matches the Rfam family "Bacterial small subunit ribosomal RNA", at positions 338 to 795 of the family's 1533-position model. The record is from RNAcentral.